CCAUUCAGGCUUCAUAAAUGCAGUCAAAAGAAGAUGUCCCUGGGUUUUUCCACUUAAUUUGACUUCACCAUGUCCUCCUUAGUUCCCGGUACAGACAGGAGUUGCCCCCAAGUCAGACAAUGUGAUUGAUCUCCUUCGCUGCACCAUCAGCAUUGGAGUACCAAGUCCAACGUCUUGACUUAGGAUGUUGGAACCCGGAUGCAGUAACCUGCAGCCCCUGACCUUUCGCAAAGUCAAGGAACAUGGAACCUCUGUCACCCUGAUCUCCAGACCCAUGGGGACCGACACAAUCCUCAAAGCCAGCCCUGUCAGUGCCGGUGGUCGCACUGAAGUCACCCACGACCAGAGGAGUGUCACCUCAUGGUCAGUCAUCAACCACCGAGCUGCGAGUAAAACGUCUCCCUCAACAAGACGACGUUUCUCUCGUUUGUUAUAAGAGCUGUGAACGUGAUGCUGGUGUUCUGGGGGUGUCUGGUGGGGCCUUUUCUGCACCGCAUGGAGUGACUAAGGUAGCCACUCUCAUUGGCUUACAUACUGGCUUAGGUUUGCAUCUAGAACUGGACUGCCAGUACUCUGGGUUUUGUAGCUGAACUGUCCUGUCCUGGCUUACGAUCUGUGAUUUUAGCCGUGUUUUGAUAUUUUGUUAACUGGCUAUUUGUAUUCUUUUUAAAGACUUUAUUUGGGUUAAUAAAUAUUACUCAGUUACUGGCAUAUGAGUCUCUGUGUCGUUUAUGCGACGUCGCUGUGUCUGAGGGAAUCCUGAGGGUAGCAGUAAUCAUACAUCUUAAGGGGCAGCAGGACCUUAGUCUGGACUCCUACCUACACUUAGUGACCAACCACCCCAAGGUUACAAGCUCACAAAGCUUUAACCAGUGGAAUAUUGUUUUAUAGAAAUUCUAAAGAUUCAGGAGUGUAUUGUCUUGGGCAUAGUAAACAGUCAAU
Long non-coding RNA from Brienomyrus brachyistius, 942 nucleotides. RefSeq lists it as uncharacterized. NCBI's taxonomy places the organism in Eukaryota, Metazoa, Chordata, Actinopteri, Osteoglossiformes, Mormyridae. The record is from RefSeq and is a predicted model, not a curated record. The transcript has 3 exons.